GGAGGGUCCGGAACAGACAGCGAGAGGGGCGGGGGGCGCGGCAAGCACGCGGCUGGUUUGGGGCGGGUCCGCACUGGGAGUUUUGGGGAUGGGAGCGGCUGGGAGGGAAGUUUGGGAUUGGUGUGGUCCCUAAAAUGGGGAUUGGAGGGUUUGGGGUUAAUUUUUUAGAUAAAUUUUGGAUUUGCUCUGCUCCCCAAAAUGAGGAUUAGGAGGUUUUUGGGGGUCAGGAGUGGCUGGGAGUGAAGUUUGGGGUUGGUUUGGUCCCCUAAAACGAGGAUUGGGAGGGUUUGGUUUUCUCCAAAAUCAGGAUUAGGGUUUUUUUAGAAAGGUUUUAGAUUUGCUCUGCUCCCCAAAAUGAUGAUUAGGAGGUUUGGGUUUUUUCUCUGCUUCCCAAAAUGAUGGUUAGAAGGUUUUGGGGAGUGGGAGCAGCUGGGAGGGAAGUUUGGGGGUGGUUUGGUCCCUAAAAUGGGGAUCUGGAGGGUUUGGGUUAAUUUUUUAGAUAAGUUUUGGAUUUGCUCUGCUCCCUAAAAUGAGGAUUAGGAGGUUUUGGGGAGUGGGAGCAGCUGGGGAGUGAAGUUUGGGGUUGGGUUUGGUCCAUAAAAUGGGGAUCGGGAGGUUUUGGGUUAAUUUUUUAGAUAAGUUUAGGAUUUGCUCUGCUCCUCAAAAUGAGGGUUAAGAGGUUUGGGUUAAUUUUUUAGAUGAGUUUUGGAUUUGCUCUGCUCUUCAAAAUGAUGGUUAGGAGGUUUUUGGGGGUCGGGAGCGGCUGGGAGUGAAGUUUGGGGUUGGUUUGGUCCCUAAAAUGGGGAUUGGAGGGUUUUGGGUUAAUUUUUUAGAUAAAUUUUGGAUUUGCUCUGCUCCCCAAAAUGAGGAUUGGGAGGUUUUUGGGGGGUGGGAGCGGCUGGGAGGGAAGUUUGGGGUUGGUGUGGUCCCUAAAAUGGGAAUUAGGAGGGUUUGGUUUUCCCCAAAGUCAGGAUUAGGUUUUUUAUUAGAAAGGUUUUAGAUUUGCUCUGCUCCCCAAAAUGAGGAUUAGGAGGUUUUUGUUUAAUUUUUUAGGUAAGUUUUAGAUUUGCUCUGCUCCCUAAAAUGGGGACUGGGAGGGUUUGGGUUUCUUUCUGUUCCCCAAACUGAGGAUUAGGAAAUUUGGGGUUUUUUUGGUGAGGUUUUGUAUUUGUUUUGCUCCCCAGAAUGAGGAUUAGGAGGUUUUGGUUUUUCCUCUGUUCCCCAAAAUGAGGGUUAGGAGGUUUUGUUUUUUUCUCUCCUCCCUAAAAUGAGGACUAGGAGUUUUUUUGUUUUAAGUUUUAGAGAGGUUUAGGAUUUGCUUUGCUCCCUCAAAUGCGGAUUGGGAGAUUUUGGUUUUCCCUCUGAUCCCCAAAAUGAGGAUUGGGAGGUUUUGGUUUAAUUUUUUAGGUAAGUUUUGGAUUUGCUCUGCUCCCUAUAAUGGGGAUUGGGAGGUUUUGGUUUUUUCUCUGUUCCCUGAAAUGAGGAAUAGGAGGUUUAGGAUUUGCUCUGCUCCCCAAAUUGAUGAUUAGGAGUUUUUUUUCCUUUCUUACAGAGCUUUAGGAUUUGCUCUGCUCCUCAAAAUAAGGGUGAGGAGUUUUUGGGUUUUUUUUAGAGAGGUUUGGGAUUUGCUCUCCUCCUGAAAAUGAGGAUUAGGAGGUUUUUUUUUUCUUUUUUAGAGAGGUUUAGGAUUUGCUCUGCUCCCUAAGAGCUUUUCAUGGAACCAUGGAAUGGUUUGGGUUGGGAAAUUAAAACCAUCCAGUUCCAACCCUUGCCAUGGGCAGGGUUCCACUAUCCCAGGUUCAACCUCUCCAUCCUGGGAUAUUUCCAGGAAUGAAGCAGCCAAAGCUUUUCUGGGAAUUCCAUCCCACCACCCUUACAGGGAAGAAUUUCCUCCCAGUAUCCCAAACCUCCCCCUCUUUUAAUAGAACAGGAGGAACUUGAUAAACCAGACACGUGCUUGCUGUCCCCAGGGAGUGAAAUCUCAGGAAAAUUUCAAAGCUGAAAAACACGACACUAAAAAAAAAACAACAAACAAUUAAAAAGAAAAUAAAAGUUAAAUAAAUAAAAAAAAAAAAGGCAAAACCCAGAGGGACAGAACAAAGACACCACCACAAGGCUCUGAACUCUGACACAAACCACACACUGCAACACCAGGAGAGGGAACAGCUAGUCCUUGGAUCACAAAGGCAAAAAAAAUUCUUGCAUGACCAGGAGACACACGGGCAGGCUUGGGAGGGAUGAAUCCACUGAGGAAUUUCAUGUCCCUGUUCCAUCCCAGCACGUCACCCUGGCCCUGGUGACACAGAGCAAAUGUGAAACUCCUUUGUGCUACAGAGAAUUUAAGGAAGAGGAGGCUGUGCCAAAUCUGUUACAAGGGCUUGGCUGGCUCACAAACAACUUCCCUUGGGAAGCUCUGCAGAGCUCAGGAUCGAGGAGAAAUCCUCGUGGAUCUGUCAUUCCUACACUCCACAGGCAGAGAAUUGCCUCUCCUAGCUGUGGGCAAGUCAGGGAUUUCACCAGCACCACAAAAAUCCUGCUUUUUAAAGGGUUUUUUAAAGGGUUUUGAUGGUGCUGACACAUUGCAGGACCUCAACCCCAAGGUCUUGAGGCAGCAGAGCAGGAACCGCUCUGGCAACUCCAAAUAAAGAUGUUCCACAAAGGAAUAAACUGUUCAAGCAGCAACAGCCUUGAACCAACCCCCUGGGUAUUUUUUCCUCCCCCACUUCUGGUGAUGCAAGAGUAAAAAGCUUCUGUUAAGGGCUGGUAAAGCUCUUUAGGAUGAG
Oenanthe melanoleuca is the source of this 2783-nucleotide long non-coding RNA. RefSeq lists it as uncharacterized. The record is from RefSeq and is a predicted model, not a curated record. The transcript has 5 exons. NCBI's taxonomy places the organism in Eukaryota, Metazoa, Chordata, Aves, Passeriformes, Muscicapidae.